AUAUUGGUGGUUCAGUGGUAGAAUUCUCGCUUUCCACGCUGGGAUCCCAGGUUCAAUUCCUGGCCAAUGCA
This 71-nucleotide transfer RNA is filed under the name Loxodonta africana (African savanna elephant). It matches the Rfam family "tRNA". Rfam says of the family: Transfer RNA (tRNA) molecules are approximately 80 nucleotides in length. Lineage: Eukaryota; Metazoa; Chordata; Mammalia; Proboscidea; Elephantidae. The record is from Rfam by way of RNAcentral.